UACGUAGGGCGCAAGCGUUAUCCGGAAUUAUUGGGCGUAAAGAGCUCGUAGGCGGUUUGUCGCGUCUGCCGUGAAAGUCCAGGGCUCAACCCUGGGAUGCCGGUCGAUACCGCCGGACUAGAGUUCGGAAGAGGCGAGUGGAAUUCCCGGUGUAGCGGUGAAAUGCGCAGAUAUCGGGAGGAACACCUAUGGCGAAGGCAGCUCGCUGGGACGUUACUGACGCUGAGACGCGAAAGCGUGGGGAGCAAACAGG
RNAcentral lists this ribosomal RNA (253 nucleotides) under uncultured bacterium. RNAcentral describes it as "partial 16S ribosomal RNA". It matches the Rfam family "Bacterial small subunit ribosomal RNA", at positions 524 to 776 of the family's 1533-position model. The record is from RNAcentral.